This 657-nucleotide long non-coding RNA is filed under the name Musa acuminata (dwarf banana). RNAcentral describes it as "long non-coding RNA (MACU_LNC003174)". Lineage: Eukaryota; Viridiplantae; Streptophyta; Magnoliopsida; Zingiberales; Musaceae. The record is from RNAcentral.
UUGGAUAUGAGACCCAGAGAACUAUUCUUGAAGUUGACGAACUCAUGCAGCGGUCUUCCCUUCAAAACAGCAGUGGUAGAUUUCUUCCUCGCCGGACGCCCAGAUCCAGAACACGAACACCAUGAACCACAGAUCUCUCCCGUUCCAAAGAACGAAAGGAAGUGAACGUCCUUGGCCUCAGAAUCCUUUGCCCACCUGAGACGUCAAGCUGAGAGAGCUAGAUGCCUCCUCUGCUUUCCAUCACACCCACCUUCACCUUGCGGUCGGCCGCACGUCGUGCUGCAUGCAGUUGACAUCACCUGCAUGCAUGUCGGAGACAAGCUUUUGGAUCACCCUACGUGAUUCCUCUCCUGAAAUAGCAGUGCAACCAUUUAUCCGGUUCAAGUCGUUACAGACCUCGGGUUGCAGACAACCGAAGCUUCCUGCACACCAAAAGAUGGAACAUCGGGUGGCCCAGUUGUUCCCCGCAGGGGAUGAGUCACUGGGGGAAGCGUCCAUAUCCUGCUUGCACUUUUCAGCUGCAGCAUCUCAGAGGCGUCUUCCAGCAGCUCCCAUGUUGAGGCCACCUGUGGAAGUCCAAGCGAAAGUUAGCGAAGGCAUCACAUCACUAUUGAUCCUGGAACUGUGGCAUGUCAACAACGUGGCGUGCAUGAUUGC